Molecule: ribosomal RNA, 635 nt
Filed under: uncultured bacterium
Lineage: Bacteria
Description: bacterial SSU rRNA
Rfam family: Bacterial small subunit ribosomal RNA
Source: RNAcentral
AGAGUUUGAUCCUGGCUCAGAACGAACGCUGGCGGCAGGCCUAACACAUGCAAGUCGAGCGCCCGCAAGGGAGCGGCAGACGGGUGAGUAACGCGUGGGAACGUGCCCUUUGGUUCGGAAUAUUCCCGGGAAACUGGGAGCAAAACCGGAUAAGCCCUUCGGGGGAAAGUUUACGCCAAAGGAUCGGCCCGCGUUAGAUUAGGUAGUUGGUGGGGUAACGGCCUACCAAGCCUACGAUCUAUAGCUGAUCUGAGAGGAUGAUCAGCCACACUGGGACUGAGACACGGCCCAGACUCCUACGGGAGGCAGCAGUGGGGAAUCUUGGACAAUGGGCGCAAGCCUGAUCCAGCCAUGCCGCGUGGAUGACUGAAGGCCCUAGGGUUGUAAAGUCCUUUCGACGGGGACGAUAAUGACGGUACCCGUAGAAGAAGCCCCGGCUAACUUCGUGCCAGCAGCCGCGGUAAUACGAAGGGGGCUAGCGUUGUUCGGAUUUACUGGGCGUAAAGGGCGCGUAGGCGGAUUCUUAAGUCGGGGGUGAAAUCCCGGAGCUCAACUCCGGAACUGCCUUCGAUACUGGAAGUCUGGAGCACGGUAGAGGUGAGUGGAAUUCCGAGUGUAGCGGUGAAAUGCGUAGA